AUACGUAGGGGGCUAGCGUUAUCCGGAAUUACUGGGCGUAAAGGGUGCGUAGGCGGUCUUGCAAGUCAGAGGUGAAAGGCUACGGCUCAACCGUAGUAAGCCUUUGAAACUGUAGGACUUGAGUGCAGGAGAGGAAAGUGGAAUUCCCAGUGUAGCGGUGAAAUGCGUAGAUAUUGGGAGGAACACCAGUUGCGAAGGCGGCUUUCUGGACUGUAACUGACGCUGAGGCACGAAAGCGUGGGGAGCGAACAGGAUUAGAUACCCUGGUAGUCCACGCCGUAAACGAUGAGUACUAGGUGUCGGGGGUUACCCCCCUCGGUGCCGCAGCUAACGCAUUAAGUACUCCGCCUGGGAAGUACGCUCGCAAGAGUGAA
Molecule: ribosomal RNA, 374 nt
Filed under: uncultured bacterium
Lineage: Bacteria
Description: bacterial SSU rRNA
Rfam family: Bacterial small subunit ribosomal RNA
Source: RNAcentral